AGAAUGAAGAGGGCAAGAGUACAAGCAGAGAGGUGAAUGUAGUUGUCCAAGCAACAGAUGAGGGUGGCUUGGACAAGGCCAGUGGUAUAGAGACUGUGAAGAGAGAAGCAGAUGAUACUGGGGGAUUAGACAUCAAGUUAAAGAAAAGAACUGCUGACGGUGGUAAGACAGCAAAGGAAAAUCGGCACAGGGCCGGUACCAGUGCCACCUCCAAGAAGAGGAAUAAGAGCACAAGCAAGCACAAGCAUUUUGCAAGAGAAUUUUGUGAACCUGGCGUCAGUAUUCACAACACAACACAAAAAACACCAGCCAACUGCAACCAUUUUGGACGAAAGGGGGCCCCUGAAGCCGGAUCAACAGGGAGAAACUCUCAGAGGCAAUAUUUAUAGCUUGGUUAAAGUUGUACUUGUGGAAAACAGAAGAACGCUUCUCUACGUCUGUCCUCGCCAGAGAUUCUACACGUGACCGGCAGCACUUUCUUCUGCAUUAUUUGGUGUGUAUAAAGACACAGUUCUGAAAGGGCCGGCCUUUUUCUGUUUGGACUUUGAGGUACAAAGACACUGUUGCUAUACUCCUGAAGAAAGACCCUUCUUUUUUUUCAAAGACCCUUCUGACGAAGAUUUUUUUUUUUUUCUACCAGCAGCUGAGACAAUUGAGCCAACAUUUAUUUUUUAAUGAAAAUCACCUCCUCUUCAAAAAUGGGCCCCACGUGGCUCAUUCCUUUUUGAAGUUCUCUUUGAUUCUAAAGCUGAAAACGCACAGAACGAAUGUUCUUCUACCAAAAUGAAUUUGGCGGUAGGGAUUUACUACAAGGCCCCCUGACAAUGAUGAAGAGCCAUAUUCUAAACAUUCAGUCUCAGUUACUGAAGGUCACCUGUUAAAUGGAUGAAGCCUAAUUCUAUCCCACUUAGAAGCAAAACAACCAACACCUGCUUUGGGUCAACAGCAAGGGCUGUUUCCAGACCGAGCCCAAAAUAUCGCACUCAGAUAAAGUCAGACGCCAGUAGUUACUGACAUUCAGAAGAGCAUUUCAGAGGCUCUGACGAUCUGAAUUCACACACACAGCAAGCUUACCUUUAUCCAUCAUACUCUGUGAGAAAGAAAGUUUGUUUUUCUAAGUGAGAGGGCUUUACAUGUACCAAAAAGUUGCAAAAAUG
RNAcentral lists this long non-coding RNA (1157 nucleotides) under Sus scrofa (pig). Its description in RNAcentral is "lncRNA (ENSSSCG00015045601.1)". Lineage: Eukaryota; Metazoa; Chordata; Mammalia; Artiodactyla; Suidae. The record is from RNAcentral.